GCCGGGGUGGGGUAAAGGUUAUCCUGAAGCCCUGUGGAGGCUUUGACCCGAGUUCGAUUCUCGGUCCCGGCC
This 72-nucleotide transfer RNA is filed under the name Methanimicrococcus blatticola. It matches the Rfam family "tRNA". From Rfam's summary of the family: Transfer RNA (tRNA) molecules are approximately 80 nucleotides in length. Their secondary structure includes four short double-helical elements and three loops (D, anti-codon, and T loops). Further hydrogen bonds mediate the characteristic L-shaped molecular structure. tRNAs have two regions of fundamental functional importance: the anti-codon, which is responsible for specific mRNA codon recognition, and the 3' end, to which the tRNAs corresponding amino acid is attached (by aminoacyl-tRNA synthetases). tRNAs cope with the degeneracy of the genetic code in two manners: having more than one tRNA (with a specific anti-codon) for a particular amino acid; and 'wobble' base-pairing, i.e. permitting non-standard base-pairing at the 3rd anti-codon position. RNAcentral also lists the same sequence under 3 other names. Lineage: Archaea; Methanobacteriati; Methanobacteriota; Methanomicrobia; Methanosarcinales; Methanosarcinaceae. The record is from Rfam by way of RNAcentral.